AACGAACGCUGGCGGCAUGCCUAACACAUGCAAGUCGAACGAGACCUUCGGGUCUAGUGGCGCACGGGUGCGUAACGCGUGGGAACCUGCCCUUAGGUUCGGAAUAACUCCCCGAAAGGGGUGCUAAUACCGGAUAAUGUCUUCGGACCAAAGAUUUAUCGCCUUUGGAUGGGCCCGCGUUGGAUUAGCUAGUUGGUAGGGUACAAGCCUACCAAGGCGACGAUCCAUAGCUGGUCUGAGAGGAUGAUCAGCCACACUGGGACUGAGACACGGCCCAGACUCCUACGGGAGGCAGCAGUGGGGAAUAUUGGACGAUGGGCGAAAGCCUGACCCAGCCAUGCCGCGUGAGUGAUGAAGGCGUUAGGGUUGUACAGCUCUUUUACCCGGGAGGAUAAUGACAGUACCGGGAGAAUAAGCGCCGGCUAACUCCGUG
RNAcentral lists this ribosomal RNA (433 nucleotides) under uncultured bacterium. Its description in RNAcentral is "partial 16S ribosomal RNA". It matches the Rfam family "Bacterial small subunit ribosomal RNA", at positions 29 to 507 of the family's 1533-position model. The record is from RNAcentral.